AUAGGUUUUUUUUUUUUACGUUACAACGUUUCAUCUCCUCACUCUCUCGUUCUCACGCCUCCCUCACAUUCAUGGAGAUUCCGCCGCGCCGGUAAUCCCCUACGGUGGCGGCGGUGAUCGAACUCUACGCUUCUCAGAUUCUCCCUCUCUCUUCCUAAUUUCGGAUUUAGUUUAACACGAUUCCUCAUAAUACGGAUCAAAAGCAAACCCUAGGCCUAACCAACGACGAGAUUAAAUGCAAACCACUGCGAAUCACAGAGCAAGACCAUGGGGGAAUCGUUCAAGGAGCUUAAUACUACACCACAACAUCAAAAACGCAGCAAGAGAUGAAGAAGGAGGAGUCGAUUUGAAGACUUACCUGGAUGACGAAGAUGGCGAAUCGUUGAGGAAAACCGGAGGGGAGAAUCAGAAGCUCUUCAGUGUGCGAAAUAAACGCAAUUGAGGAAAUUGAUGAAUUCUUCCGAGAUGGAUGUGAAUCGCGGCUUGAAGCUUCUACGUGGAGAAGAUGGAGUUGAUGAUUGAAGUUGCAAGAUAAUUGAAGAUUCAGUUAAACGAUGGUGAUUUGAUGAUGAGUUUCUGAAGUAUGAAGAUUGUGGAGUUUGUUGGUGAUUGUGCAGAGAAAUGGUGGAGUGGAGAUGAAGAUGAUGAAUUGAGAUUGAUGAGUAUGUGAAAAAUGGUUGGGGAAUGGAGAGAGUGAUGAGAAUGAGAAGAUGCAGAGAGGGAGAAGAGUGAUUGGAGAUGAAGAUGGUGAAUUUCAGAGGGAGAGUGAAUCGUGGAAUGUGUGAAGGUGAAGUGAAGAUUGAAGAAAUUGUGAAAAAAUGGUGGAGAGGAAAGUGAUGAAUGGAAGUUCUAAUUUAUAGAUAUUCUUCAGGGAUGUUUUUAAUAGCUGCUGUUGCUGAAGUAAUGUCGACUGUGAGUCAUUGAUGUUUGCUGUUGAUGAGUAAUCUCUUUCCUUUUUUUUUUGAACUGAUGCAAGGAUGUUCUUGUAUGCUUGAUGGAUUUUGUAUAUGGCUGUUUGUGGAUUUAAAUAGUGAUGCUGUUCUCUCUUUUUUGUAUGCAGGACUGCAGCAAGUAUAUGGCAUUGGACUUGAAGGGUGAUGGAAUGGGAAGAAGGACUCUGCGGUUUAGACUUAGGCUUGUAUUAGUAAUAGGUUUUUGAACUGGUGUAUGUGGACCUGCUGUGUAUAAUAUGGUAUUUGAAAUGUGUGGACUUUGAUGUAAUGUGAAUGAUUGAAGUAUGAUAUGAAUUUUUUCGUAAUGGAUGCGUGUUUUGGACACUUGAAUGAUGAUGGUUGGUGGAUAAUGCUAGUAUUUGAACCAAUGAGCGUGUUUACAUUUUUUACAAUGACGAAUGACGUAGAAUAUAGAAUUUGGAUGAUGCAGAAAUAGUUUGAAUCUACCUUAAAUGAGGACCUAGAAACAAUAGUAAAAUUCCAACUCUUCGAAAUCCUUAAUCCACAAGAACAAUCGUAAACUCUUUAAGUUCCAGUUCAAAUCGCACAGGAGAACCAAAUGAAUCAGUCUUUGUUUGAUAUGUACACCUCAAAAUCAAUAUGAAACCUUAAUAAUCCAAAAUCCUUGAUCCCAAUGUCAAUUGUUGAUUAAUGAUGCAUGUGUUAUGUGAAAGACCUAAUGAAAGUAUGCGUAUGAAAUGUAAAGCUUACGCCAAUUAGGAUAAAAUCAGAUGGGCAAAUUUUGGGGUGCAACAUUGACCAACCACAUGAUGAAACGCACUCGUCUUCCUCGCAAUAACCUGUAACUCAGACUUAU
Long non-coding RNA from Vicia villosa (hairy vetch), 1770 nucleotides. RefSeq lists it as uncharacterized. The transcript has 3 exons. NCBI's taxonomy places the organism in Eukaryota, Viridiplantae, Streptophyta, Magnoliopsida, Fabales, Fabaceae. The record is from RefSeq and is a predicted model, not a curated record.